RNAcentral lists this ribosomal RNA (440 nucleotides) under uncultured Methylotenera sp. RNAcentral describes it as "bacterial SSU rRNA". It matches the Rfam family "Bacterial small subunit ribosomal RNA", at positions 358 to 790 of the family's 1533-position model. Lineage: Bacteria; Pseudomonadati; Pseudomonadota; Betaproteobacteria; Nitrosomonadales; Methylophilaceae. The record is from RNAcentral.
GGAAUUUUGGACAAUGGGCGCAAGCCUGAUCCAGCCAUUCCGCGUGAGUGAAGAAGGCCUUCGGGUUGUAAAGCUCUUUCGCAAGGGAAGAAACGUUACGAGCGAAUAACUCGUGAUAAUGACGGUACCUUGAUAAGAAGCACCGGCUAACUACGUGCCAGCAGCCGCGGUAAUACGUAGGGUGCGAGCGUUAAUCGGAAUUACUGGGCGUAAAGCGUGCGCAGGCUGUUUUGUAAGUCAGAUGUGAAAUCCCUGAGCUCAACUUAGGAACUGCGUUUGAAACUACAAGACUAGAAUAUGUCAGAGGGGGGUAGAAUUCCACGUGUAGCAGUGAAAUGCGUAGAGAUGUGGAGGAAUACCAAUGGCGAAGGCAGCCCCCUGGGAUAAUAUUGACGCUCAUGCACGAAAGCGUGGGGAGCAAACAGGAUUAGAUACCCUUG